Macaca mulatta (Rhesus monkey) is the source of this 341-nucleotide non-coding RNA. Lineage: Eukaryota; Metazoa; Chordata; Mammalia; Primates; Cercopithecidae. The record is from RefSeq and is a predicted model, not a curated record.
CUAUGUUGCCCUAGGCUGGUCUUGAGCAUCCGGGCUCAAGCCAUCACAGGCGUGAGCCACUGCACCCAGCCCUCUUGUACAAGUUUUUACGUGGAUACAGAUUUCAAUUCAUUUAGGUAAAUACUUAGGAGCACAAUAGCUGAAUCAUAUGGUAAGAGUAUGAUUAGCUUUGUAAGAAACCACCAAAGUGUCUUCCAAGUGGAUAUACCAUUUCUCUACAUCGUUACCAGCAUUUGAUGUUGUCAGUGUUUUGGAUUUCAGCCACUCUAACAGGGGAACAUCUUAGGCCAGUGUGUCAACUUCUGACUUGGCUCAUCUGAACCCAAGACCUUGGACACAUU